GGAACUCAACCCAGGAGCCUCCCGCCGGAAGUUGUGCGAUUUCUUUAAUCAGAGUGGCUUCCCACAAAUGUAUUUCCUGCCUGAUCCCGCUGUCUGUGUCCUUGCAGUGUGAGUGGCAGAAUCCCUUGAAGAAGACCGAGCCAGUGACCUCGUUUCUGAAAUAAAAGGCGGGAAGUGAGGGAGCCAGUGGUCACCGGGCAGCCAACCCAGAAGGAAAAAUCUCCAAGAGUGGGAACAGUUAAUCAUCAUCAUCAUGAUAAUUAGCAUUUACCAAGUACGUUUGCCACAUCUCGAGCUGCGAGCUGCCUGUGCCCAUCUCAUGGAGCCCUGGAGUUUUUAUUCUCCCCACCUUCUAUUCAGGCAAACUGAGGCUUCGAGAAUCAUGACCCAGGCAAACUGCAAGAUUCUCGGUAACACGAGAAAGACAGGACUUUGCUCACUGGCUAGUGUUUCCUAUCACAAAAAUAACAGCAGAGUUCAUACUUCUGACAAAGUUUUACAACUAAGGAAGAAAAAAAAUCAGGUUCCUGGUUGGUCACCCCUCGGCUCCAGCAGAUGUAGGGGCUGGAGCACUCCCUGUGUUUGGUUCAACAAGGCUGACGUCGGGCUCGUGUGCUGGGACUGGACUCCGCCGUCAGCUCCUUAGGACCUGGCAGCUUCUCCUCUUGGCUUUUUGUAAAAAUUAGAGUAAUUUAAAUCUCCAAUAUGUUGUGGUAAUCCAUGAGUUUUUAAAGAUGAUUACACUAGUUUACUAGUUAAACCUUUACAUUAAAAACUGUGUUUCCAGCUAAA
This is a long non-coding RNA of Homo sapiens (human), 792 nucleotides long. RefSeq lists it as uncharacterized. The record is from RefSeq and is a predicted model, not a curated record. The transcript is spliced from 3 exons. NCBI's taxonomy places the organism in Eukaryota, Metazoa, Chordata, Mammalia, Primates, Hominidae.